GAACAAACCUCACUGGACACCUCAGGCAGAGGGAGACUUCCCCAUGAAUGGAGCCCCUGCACUCCAGGAGUCUUUGCUAAAACAGAGAGAGCGACCAGAAGACUACAGCCGGAACCAGCCCUUUGGCUUUCAAACUCAAUUCAACUUCAAAUAUCUUUACAAAUAACAGACUGCAAUCAUCUGAGAAAGAGAGUGAGGAAUAAGCAUCAGAGACACUAUUGAAGCCAGACUCUGGUCUGGCGGUAAGACACCCAUACACAGUGAGCCUGCCCCUGCUGUCCUCCGAUGGAGACCCCGGGUAGAGCAAGACGCUGCUGCAACGUUACAGAUUUGAAGACACAACUCUGAGGCACGAAUGUACGUAGGUGGAGAAUGUCAAGCUACAACCUGUGAACAGGGGGACCCCCAGUAAAGGAGUCAUCCAGAGGGGAACACAGCGUUGCAGUGUGCGACAUGAAUGCAGUGAAAACUACUGAGCUGUCUGUCCACAGUAAGGAGAACAGGCAAAGUCCUGGACACCUAAAGACUAAAGAGGACGAGGAGGACCCCUGGGACAGGAAGGACCCCAGUAACCACACAACCAGGAAGCAUCCCUCAACCACUGGGGGAAAGAAUGGUGAGUUUCAAUAAUAUUAGUUAUAAUUCUAAUUAAAUGAAAAUAUAAACAGGACUAACAUUUGUGACUGACCGGCUUGAUUCGCUC
This is a long non-coding RNA of Oncorhynchus tshawytscha (Chinook salmon), 703 nucleotides long. Lineage: Eukaryota; Metazoa; Chordata; Actinopteri; Salmoniformes; Salmonidae. The record is from Ensembl.